This 484-nucleotide ribosomal RNA is filed under the name uncultured bacterium. RNAcentral describes it as "partial 16S ribosomal RNA". It matches the Rfam family "Bacterial small subunit ribosomal RNA", at positions 29 to 523 of the family's 1533-position model. The record is from RNAcentral.
AGUGAACGCUGGCGGCGUGCUUAACACAUGCAAGUCGAACGAGAACGGAUUAUAGCUUGCUAUAAUUGUCAGCUAAGUGGCGCACGGGUGAGUAAUGUAUAGGUAAUAUGCCUCUUACUAAGGGAUAACAAAUGGAAACGUUUGCUAAUACCUUAUACUCCUUAUUAACAUAAGUUAAUAUGGGAAAGAUUUAUUGGUAAGAGAUUAGCCUGUAUUGUAUCAGUUAGUUGGUGGGGUAAUGGCUUACCAAGACUAUGACACAUAACUGGUUUGAGAGGAUGAUCAGUCACACUGGAACUGAGACACGGUCCAGACUCCUACGGGAGGCAGCAGUGGGGAAUAUUGCACAAUGGACGAAAGUCUGACGCAGCAACGCCGCGUGGAGGAUGACACAUUUCGGUGCGUAAACUCCUUUUAUAUGAGAAGAUAAUGACGGUAUUAUAUGAAUAAGCACCGGCUAACUCCGUGCCAGCCGCCGCGGUAA